UCGCACGAGUUCUCGUUGAUGAUCGGUGCUUGCACCGUAGAUUCAACAUGGAACGAGUGGCGGACGGGUGAGUAACACGUGGGUAACCUGCCCUUAAGUGGGGGAUAACAUUUGGAAACAGAUGCUAAUACCGCAUAGAUCCAAGAACCGCAUGGUUCUUGGCUGAAAGAUGGCGUAAGCUAUCGCUUUUGGAUGGACCCGCGGCGUAUUAGCUAGUUGGUGAGGUAAUGGCUCACCAAGGCGAUGAUACGUAGCCGAACUGAGAGGUUGAUCGGCCACAUUGGGACUGAGACACGGCCCAAACUCCUACGGGAGGCAGCAGUAGGGAAUCUUCCACAAUGGACGCAAGUCUGAUGGAGCAACGCCGCGUGAGUGAAGAAGGCUUUCGGGUCGUAAAACUCUGUUGUUGGAGAAGAAUGGUCGGCAGAGUAACUGUUGUCGGCGUGACGGUAUCCAACCAGAAAGCCACGGCUAACUACGUGCCAGCAGCCGCGGUAAUACGUAGGUGGCAAGCGUUAUCCGGAUUUAUUGGGCGUAAAGCGAGCGCAGGCGGUUUUUUAAGUCUGAUGUGAAAGCCCUCGGCUUAACCGAGGAAGCGCAUCGGAAACUGGGAAACUUGAGUGCAGAAGAGGACAGUGGAACUCCAUGUGUAGCGGUGAAAUGCGUAGAUAUAUGGAAGAACACCAGUGGCGAAGGCGGCUGUCUGGUCUGUAACUGACGCUGAGGCUCGAAAGCAUGGGUAGCGAACAGGAUUAGAUACCUGGUAGUCCAUGCCGUAAACGAUGAAUGCUAGGUGUUGGAGGGUUUCCGCCCUUUCAGUGCCGCAGCUAACGCAUUAAGCAUUCCGCCUGGGGAGUACGACCGCAAGGUUGAAACUCAAAGGAAUUGACGGGGGCCCGCACAAGCGGUGGAGCAUGUGGUUUAAUUCGAAGCAACGCGAAGAACCUUACCAGGUCUUGACAUCUUUUGAUCACCUGAGAGAUCAGGUUUCCCCUUCGGGGGCAAAAUGACAGGUGGUGCAUGGUUGUCGUCAGCUCGUGUCGUGAGAUGUUGGGUUAAGUCCCGCAACGAGCGCAACCCUUAUGACUAGUUGCCAGCAUUUAGUUGGGCACUCUAGUAAGACUGCCGGUGACAAACCGGAGGAAGGUGGGGAUGACGUCAAAUCAUCAUGCCCCUUAUGACCUGGGCUACACACGUGCUACAAUGGAUGGUACAACGAGUUGCGAGACCGCGAGGUCAAGCUAAUCUCUUAAAGCCAUUCUCAGUUCGGACUGUAGGCUGCAACUCGCCUACACGAAGUCGGAAUCGCUAGUAAUCGCGGAUCAGCACGCCGCGGUGAAUACGUUCCCGGGCCUUGUACACACCGCCCGUCACACCAUGAGAGUUUGUAACACCCGAAGCCGGUGGCGUAACCCUUUAGGGAGCGAGCCGUCUACAGGUGGGACAACAUGA
Molecule: ribosomal RNA, 1452 nt
Filed under: Lacticaseibacillus paracasei
Lineage: Bacteria; Bacillati; Bacillota; Bacilli; Lactobacillales; Lactobacillaceae
Description: bacterial SSU rRNA
Rfam family: Bacterial small subunit ribosomal RNA
Source: RNAcentral